GAUGAACGCUGGCGGCGUGCCUAAUACAUGCAAGUCGAGCGAACAGACGAGGAGCUUGCUCCUCUGACGUUAGCGGCGGACGGGUGAGUAACACGUGGAUAACCUACCUAUAAGACUGGGAUAACUUCGGGAAACCGGAGCUAAUACCGGAUAAUAUAUUGAACCGCAUGGUUCAAUAGUGAAAGACGGUUUUGCUGUCACUUAUAGAUGGAUCCGCGCCGCAUUAGCUAGUUGGUAAGGUAACGGCUUACCAAGGCAACGAUGCGUAGCCGACCUGAGAGGGUGAUCGGCCACACUGGAACUGAGACACGGUCCAGACUCCUACGGGAGGCAGCAGUAGGGAAUCUUCCGCAAUGGGCGAAAGCUUGACGGAGCAACGCCGCGUAAGUGAUGAAGGUCUUCGGAUCGUAAAACUCUGUUAUUAGGGAAGAACAAAUGUGUAAGUAACUAUGCACGUCUUGACGGUACCUAAUCAGAAAGCCACGGCUAACUACGU
RNAcentral lists this ribosomal RNA (496 nucleotides) under uncultured bacterium. Its description in RNAcentral is "partial 16S ribosomal RNA". It matches the Rfam family "Bacterial small subunit ribosomal RNA", at positions 28 to 506 of the family's 1533-position model. The record is from RNAcentral.